CGCUCUCAGCCUAUCGCGCUAGCAAAGCUGCUCAGCCAUCGCACCUCUGUUGCUCCAGCGCCCUCAUCUCCCCUGUCCCGACGUGCAGGUCUUCACUCUUCACGGAUGCUGCUCAACGCUCGUUCUUCCUGUUCUUGGCUCUCACCUUCAGAUCGCUCGGCCCUAGCUCCUCCUACCAACAAGUGUCGCCAUGCUCUAGGUCCCCGGCUCCGACUCGUCUCCCUCGACUAGAAGUCAUCGCGCCAGCAGCCACUUUGUGGCGCCACGCUCAGCCCCAUCCUCAAGCUACACUCGCCGAAUAGCAUCCUCCUCGUCGCGCUCGGAAGCAGCUACUUAACUCAUUUUUUCCUUCCUGUGGUGCGUCGUCGCGUGGAGCUGCUGAACGCCGACGUCUCCAGCUUCUGUAUCGCCAUGCCGGCGCUCGUCUCCCCAACACCGUUGUUGCCUACUGCGCCUACUACUCGCUCUACAGCAGCUCGCCGGCUCCCUGGAAAUUCCCCAGUCAUCGGCCGACUUCCUUGCCUCACCGUUCGCCGCGUCGUCAUCCCUGCUGUCUCGCGACGUCGUGCUCCUCACACUUUAUUUCCUCCAUGUCGGUGAUGCUUACUGAAAACCUGAAUCACGUCAUCGGUGAAUCAAUCGUUUGGUGGAGUAAUUUUCUGGAGACUGGUCAUCACCCUGAAGACUUGUGACAUUUUAUUUUCUUAGUCUUCGGCUCUCUUCUCUGCAUCAAAGGCAAGCCCCGGUGCAUCCACCACCUUCCUUGUCGUUUACAAAACUUUUAUCACUUGAUAUGAUGCAUUAGGUGAUAUGAGUUGCGUGAUCAAACAAUUGAUGCAUUACCAUCCUUGAGAAUUUGAAUAAUCAUUCCUUGAUACCUAUUUUAUGAAAAACUAGUGUCGCUUAGCCCUGCUUAAAGUGAUAAGAUUUUGAAAUUUAUUUUGAUUACUGGUUAUUGUUAUGUGUGAAUGAACUUGAGUUAGAUAAUUAAUAUGAGACCGGGUGGGUGGCUUGCAUCGUGAAAUGAGUCAGUGUAGUGCUCCGCCUGUGUCGAUUAAGGACCGUUUGAUGUAGGCCUGUUGUGGUUGAGACUUUGCAACUAGCCACAUGCCCCG
Molecule: long non-coding RNA, 1115 nt
Organism: Zea mays
Lineage: Eukaryota; Viridiplantae; Streptophyta; Magnoliopsida; Poales; Poaceae
Exons: 3
Source: RefSeq, a predicted model, not a curated record